GAGAUUAGGGGAAAACAGAGUGAGAGAGGGAGUGAUAUUAUGGGAAAACAGACGGAGAGAGGGAGUGAGAUUAGGGGAAAACAGAGGGAGAGAGGGAGUGAGAUUAGGGAAAAACAGAGGGAGAGUGGGAGUGAGAUUAGGGGUAAACAGAGGGAGAGAGGGAGUGAGAUAAAGGGAAAACAGAGGGAGAGAGGGAGUGAGAUUAGGGGAAAACAGAGGGAGAGAGGGAAUGAGAUUAGGGGAAAACAGAGGGAGAGAGGGAGUGAUA
This is a long non-coding RNA of Oncorhynchus tshawytscha (Chinook salmon), 268 nucleotides long. The record is from Ensembl. Lineage: Eukaryota; Metazoa; Chordata; Actinopteri; Salmoniformes; Salmonidae.